GGGGGUAGGAGGUGGUGCCAGUUUCCUACGGUGGAAACCCAAGGAAGGCACGAAGCAGGUGUGCUUUGGAAGGAACAGUUCUGGCGCAGCGCCUCUUCCUGUCGGCCCCCUUCUACAGUGCGCCUGGACACAGGGUGACGGCGCAGAGCUGCGCGGGCAUCCCCAGCUCCGUGGCUCCGGCUCAGGUCGGCUGAGAGGCCUGGAUCGAGGCACGCUGUCCCCGCGCCGCCCGCACUGCCAAGGGCAAGGGCACGGCCGUGACCGGAAAUGUAACAGGACCCACUGUGCACCUGCACUCUUCUAGACUCAGACGGUUCCACAGGGAACAAAACAAGAGAUUUUGGCCUCUUAGGACACCAGCGAGAGCACCUCCAGGAGAAGCCAGCAGGGCGACAGGAAUGGCCCCUCGAAGGAGGUGACACCUGAGCAGAGACCUGAGGGAGACUUCGUCCAUCUGAAAUGAAUUUGGCAGAAUGACACUCUCUUUCUUGUGAAAUCCAGUCCUGCCUUGGGAUCCACAGAUGCCCCGACAUGUCCUACCUUCCCCGUCCCUUGGUCCCUCAUUCAGUCACUCUACAAGUAUGUUUUGAGCCUUUGUUAGGCACCAAACACUGGUGAUCCUGCUUUGAAUAGAUCAUGUCCCUGUGCUGGGAAAGAUGCGUUCAAUGGAGGAGACAGGGAGCAAACAAACAAACAAACAAACGGUGCUGUGGCUUGGAUGUGUGUCCCCUCCUAAUCUCAUGUUGAAAUGUGACCCCCAGUGUUGGAAGUGGGCUUAGCUGGAGGUGUUGAGUCAUGGGGGUGGAUCCCUCAUGAAUGGGUCAGCCCUGCCCCUUGGCCAUGAGUGGUAGCGAGAUGCCAGAGCUGAUUGUUUAAAAGAGCCUGAGGCCGGGUACUGUGGCUCAUGCCUGUAAUCCCAGCACUUUGGGAGGCCGAGGCGGGCGAAUCACGAGGGCAGGAGAUCAAGACCAUCCUGGCUAUGGUGAAACCCCGUCUCUACUAAAAAUACAAAAAAUUAGCCAGGCGUGGUGGUGGGCACCUGUAGACCCAGCUACUCCAGAGGCUGAGGCAGGAGAAUGGCGUGAACCCGGGAGGCGGAGCUUGCAGUGAGCCGAGAUCCCGCCGCUGCAUUCUAGCCUGGGCGACAGAACGAGACUCUGUCUCAAUUAAAAAAAAAAAGAAAAAAAAAUUGCCUGGCACUUCCCCCUCUUUUUCUUGCUCCCUCUCUCGCCAUGUAACACAUCUGUUCGCCCUUUGCCUUCUACCAUGAGUAAAAGCUUCCUGAGGCCUCACCAAACCUGAGUAGAUGCUGGUGUCAUGCUGGUACAGCCUGCAGAACUGUGAACCAAAUAAGCCUCUUUUCUUUUUAAAUUACC
Molecule: long non-coding RNA, 1376 nt
Filed under: Homo sapiens (human)
Lineage: Eukaryota; Metazoa; Chordata; Mammalia; Primates; Hominidae
Description: HSALNT0038910
Source: RNAcentral